AGGUUGACCUCGGAUCAGGUAGGGAUACCCGCUGAACUUAAGCAUAUCAAUAAGCGGAGGAAAAGAAACCAACAGGGAUUGCCUCAGUAACGGCGAGUGAAGCGGCAAGAGCUCAAAUUUGAAAUCCGGCCCCCCUGGGGGCCUGAGUUGUAAUUUGCAGAGGAUGCUUCGGGCGCGACCGCGGUCCAAGUCCCCUGGAACGGGGCGUCGUAGAGGGUGAGAAUCCCGUCUCCGGCCGGCCGGUCUCGCCCGUGUGAAGCUCCUUCGACGAGUCGAGUUGUUUGGGAAUGCAGCUCCAAAUGGGUGGUAAAUUUCAUCUAAAGCUAAAUACUGGUCGGAGACCGAUAGCGCACAAGUAGAGUGAUCGAAAGAUGAAAAGCACUUUGAAAAGAGAGUUAAACAGCAUGUGAAAUUGUUGAAAGGGAAGCGCUUGCGACCAGAGUCGGCCGCGGGGGUUCAGCGGGCAUUCGUUGCCUGUGCAAUCCCCCGCGGCCGGGCCAGCGUCGGUUUCGACGGCCGGUCAAAGGCCCCCGGAAUGUGUCGCCUCUCGGGGCGUCUUAUAGCCGGGGGUGCAAUGCGGCCAGUCGGGACCGAGGAACGCGCUCCGGCACGGACGCUGGCUUAAUGGUCGUCAGCGACCCG
This 642-nucleotide ribosomal RNA is filed under the name Histoplasma capsulatum var. capsulatum. RNAcentral describes it as "eukaryotic LSU rRNA". It matches the Rfam family "Eukaryotic large subunit ribosomal RNA", at positions 1 to 651 of the family's 3401-position model. The record is from RNAcentral. Lineage: Eukaryota; Fungi; Ascomycota; Eurotiomycetes; Onygenales; Ajellomycetaceae.